This 728-nucleotide ribosomal RNA is filed under the name Galiella rufa. RNAcentral describes it as "mitochondrial SSU rRNA". It matches the Rfam family "Bacterial small subunit ribosomal RNA", at positions 434 to 1181 of the family's 1533-position model. The record is from RNAcentral. Lineage: Eukaryota; Fungi; Ascomycota; Pezizomycetes; Pezizales; Sarcosomataceae.
AUAUGGUAAAUUAACCAAGUUCAAAGUAGAAUAAUGAUAAUGACAAAAUUCUAUUUAUAGUCUUGACCAAAUCACGUGCCAGCAGUCGCGGUAAGACGUGGAAGACAAGUGUUAUUCAUCUUUAAUAGGUUUAAAGGGUACCUAGACGGCAAAUCUUGCCUUUAAAAGGGAACAGAUUUGCUAGAGUUUUAUAUGAGAAGGGGAGAAUUAUUGGUGGAGAGAUGAUAUUUGAUAAUACCUUUAGGACUGGUAAUGGCGUAGGCAACCUUUUAUGUAAAAACUGACGUUGAGGGACGAAGGCUUUGGUAAUAAACAGGAUUAGAUACCCUAGUAGUCUUAGCAGAAAAUGCUGAAUGCCAUAGGUUAUAAUAUAAUGGCCUAUAAAUGAAAGUGUAAGCAUUCCACCUCAAGAGUAAUGUGGCAACGCAGAAACUGAAAUCAUUAGACCGUUUCUGAAACCAGUAGUGAAGUAUGUUAUUUAAUUCGAUGAUCCACGAAAAACCUUACCACAACUUGAAUAUUGAGUGAGUAAUGAUUUUAGUAAUAUGUACUAAAUUAGUGGAAAGUUUUUUAAAUUUUCCACUCCGCUCUAUACAAGCGUUGCACGGCUGUCUUCAGUUAAUGUCGUGAGAUUUUGGUUAGUUCCGCUUAAUUAACGCAAACCCUUACUUUAUUUAAAUUUUGUUUUAUAAAGUUGUAUGUAGAGACAUGAAUAUGAUAAAAGGACU